CUACGGGCGGCUCCAGUGGGGAAUAUUGCACAAUGGACGAAAGUCUGAUGCAGCCAUACCGCGUGUGUGAAGAAGGCCUUCGGGUUGUAAAGCACUUUCAAUUGUGAGGAAGGUAGUGUAGUUAAUACCUGCAUUAUUUGACGUUAACUUUAGAAGAAGCACCGGCUAACUCUGUGCCAGCAGCCGCGGUAAUACAGAGGGUGCAAGCGUUAUUCGGAAUUACUGGGCGUAAAGCGCGCGUAGGCGGAUUAGUAAGUCAGUUGUGAAAGCCCUGGGCUCAACCUAGGAACUGCAUCUGAUACUGCUAGUCUAGAAUCUAGGAGAGGGAAGGGGAAUUCCAGGUGUAGCGGUGAAAUGCGUAGAUAUCUGGAGGAACAUCAGUGGCGAAGGCGCCUUCCUGGACUAAGAUUGACGCUGAGGUGCGAAAGCGUGGGUAGCGAACAGGAUUAGAUACCCCAGUAGUC
This 464-nucleotide ribosomal RNA is filed under the name uncultured bacterium. RNAcentral describes it as "partial 16S ribosomal RNA". It matches the Rfam family "Bacterial small subunit ribosomal RNA", at positions 339 to 795 of the family's 1533-position model. The record is from RNAcentral.